UUUUGCAAACAUUAAAAGCCUCUGCGGUAAUCCAGCAUUGAAUUUGAUAUAAAUACGGCAACCUCGACACUCAAAAAGUAAGAAGUUUCUGAGAUUGUCGUGCAGAUCCUCAACAUUGACAGAUCGUAUCUUCAAUACUAUCAUCACUAUGAAGUUCUUCUACGUAGUUUUCGUAGCAGCUGCGUUGGCCGUAAUGUGUCUCAUGUCUCCCACUCAAGCCAGUCCAAAGCCCAGAGAAAUACACGGCAAAUGAUUCCCUAAUUUUGAAAUUGUU
Long non-coding RNA from Nilaparvata lugens (brown planthopper), 274 nucleotides. RefSeq lists it as uncharacterized. The transcript is spliced from 3 exons. NCBI's taxonomy places the organism in Eukaryota, Metazoa, Arthropoda, Insecta, Hemiptera, Delphacidae. The record is from RefSeq and is a predicted model, not a curated record.